AGCGAACGCUGGCGGCAGGCCUAACACAUGCAAGUCGAACGGAUCCUUCGGGAUUAGUGGCGGACGGGUGAGUAACUCGUGGGAACGUGCCCUUUGGUUCGGAACAACUCAGGGAAACUUGAGCUAAUACCGGAUGUGCCCUUCGGGGGAAAGAUUUAUCGCCAUUGGAGCGGCCCGCGUCUGAUUAGCUAGUUGGUGAGGUAACGGCCCACCAAGGCGACGAUCAGUAGCUGGUCUGAGAGGAUGAUCAGCCACACUGGGACUGAGACACGGCCCAGACUCCUACGGGAGGCAGCAGUGGGGAAUCUUGCGCAAUGGGCGAAAGCCUGACGCAGCCAUGCCGCGUGAAUGAUGAAGGUCUUAGGAUUGUAAAAUUCUUUCAGCGGGGACCAUAAUGACGGUACCCGCAGAAGAAGCUCCGGCUAACCUCGUG
This 433-nucleotide ribosomal RNA is filed under the name uncultured bacterium. RNAcentral describes it as "partial 16S ribosomal RNA". It matches the Rfam family "Bacterial small subunit ribosomal RNA", at positions 29 to 507 of the family's 1533-position model. The record is from RNAcentral.